AACGGUCUAUACCUGCGGUACCUGCGGAAGGAUCAUUACCGAGUUUUCAACUCCCAAACCCCAUGUGAACUUAUACCAUUUACACCGUUGCUUCGGCGGGUUCUCGCCCCGGGCUUUACAACCCCGGAACCAGGCGGCCCGCCGGGGGACCCAAACUCUAGAUUUUAUUUUAGCAUGUCUGAGUGGAAUCAUUACAAAAUGAAUCAAAACUUUUAACAAUGGAUCUCUAGAUCGGAAGAG
This 240-nucleotide unclassified non-coding RNA is filed under the name soil metagenome. RNAcentral's name for it is "partial contains 5.8S ribosomal RNA, internal transcribed spacer 2, and large subunit ribosomal RNA". The record is from RNAcentral.